This 209-nucleotide long non-coding RNA is filed under the name Trifolium pratense (red clover). RNAcentral describes it as "long non-coding RNA (TPRA_LNC003701)". Lineage: Eukaryota; Viridiplantae; Streptophyta; Magnoliopsida; Fabales; Fabaceae. The record is from RNAcentral.
UCCAUUUUUUAUCAUUCACAUACAAACAAAACAAUAAAACUUGAAUAAAAACACAGAUGUUGUCAAUCAAUCUCAUUAACAAAAAAUAAAAUAAGAGAUCUGAAUAAAAUAAAAACACAAGAUCUAGUAAACAUGGUAGUAUAACAUAUGAAGAUUAUAAAAACUAUGUAAAAGUGUGAAGAAAGUUGAGUGGAAGAAGGCAUAAGCGA